CUGUGCUUGUACAGCAGCAAGAUCCAAUUUUGCAACACCUAACUCGAAACGUUUCAUGGAAAUGUUUUCUUGCAGUUCGGCUACCUUCGUAUAAAGAUUACCUUCGGCGCUUCUAAUAUAAAAAAAAAAAUACAUUUUCUGGACUCGAACGUAAACCCAAACUAAUAUAAGAGAAUUCAUUUUCUCGUUGCUAAAAGGGGGAAAAGUUAAAGUAAUCGUGAGAAAAGAGGAAAGUUCUUGUUGGGACUCGAAAAAGCAGAGAGCGGUUUCGUUCUAAACUCGUAAAAAUUAAUUACGACCAAAGAAGAAAAA
RNAcentral lists this long non-coding RNA (312 nucleotides) under Polistes fuscatus (common paper wasp). Its description in RNAcentral is "uncharacterized LOC122523479". Lineage: Eukaryota; Metazoa; Arthropoda; Insecta; Hymenoptera; Vespidae. The record is from RNAcentral.